GAGUUUGAUCAUGGCUCAGAUUGAACGCUGGCGGCAUGCUUUACACAUGCAAGUCGAACGGCAGCACGGGAGCUUGCUCCUGGUGGCGAGUGGCGAACGGGUGAGUAAUGCAUCGGAACGUAUCCUGGAGUGGGGGAUAACGUAGCGAAAGUUACGCUAAUACCGCAUAUUCUGUGAGCAGGAAAGCGGGGGACCUUCGGGCCUCGCGCUCUUGGAGCGGCCGAUGUCGGAUUAGCUAGUUGGUGAGGUAAAGGCUCACCAAGGCGACGAUCCGUAGCAGGUCUGAGAGGAUGAUCUGCCACACUGGAACUGAGACACGGUCCAGACUCCUACGGGAGGCAGCAGUGGGGAAUUUUGGACAAUGGGGGCAACCCUGAUCCAGCCAUGCCGCGUGAGUGAAGAAGGCCUUUGGGUUGUAAAGCUCUUUCGCGAGGGAGAAAUUGCACCGGACAAUACCUGGUGUAGAUGACGGUACCUUGAUAAGAAGCA
Molecule: ribosomal RNA, 489 nt
Filed under: bacterium enrichment culture clone ALO1_GLFRUDD03FYRHT
Lineage: Bacteria
Description: bacterial SSU rRNA
Rfam family: Bacterial small subunit ribosomal RNA
Source: RNAcentral